GUAUUGACUCCUUGGUUUUCACAACUGAGUGGAAGAGGAACUGGUGUUGUCUCUGCUUUGAGGAAUGCCUAAGUUUGUACAGCUGCUACAGGAGGAAGCCUUUGUUCCGGAGAGAGGCAGAGACUCCAGGGCCUGGGGAAUCCUAACACAAUGUUCCACUGCCUCUCAUCAGUCCUGGCCAGCAGACAGAUCACUCCUCCACAGACAGUAGCCUCAGAGGAAGAGUGAUGUCCACUCUUGGAUCUAGGACAGCACCCAGCACCUAGAAGGCCUCAGCUGGGAAGUGCUGGAUCAAAGAAUAAAAGAGUGAGAUUGGGCAAGACACAAUAAGAAAUGAAGGCCUUAGACGAGUCAAGUUGGGGGAAGCAUCCUGAAACUCUACAGCUCAGCAGAUCGUGUGAAGCAGUCAAGAGGCCCGCGGAAAUAUUCAUCUGGACCCACACACUCGCUCUGUCUGCCUCUCCCGCCCUGUCUGUGUGGACCGGAUGUAUUGGCCGAGCCAGAGGAACAAGGCAGCUUCAUGGACAUGGCGGAUUUUGCUCGUCCAGGAGACACUGGACGCAGGUCAGCUCCCUCUACCCGCAUGGCUGUGGGAGCUUCAUUGGGUAGAAUCUGAUUAGGAACCUUUGGAUAAAUAGAACUGAUAUUUAAUGUUCAGCAUCAGGUGUAAAAUGAAGGUAGGGAACUGGAAAAAAAUUUGUGCUGUAAAAUCUUUAAAUGUGGUUGUUUCUGAAUGGUGCUGGGUAAUUGUUUGGAGAUAUUAUGAUCUCUCCUCAUGGAAGUUUCAACACAAUGGAAUCAGAGAUUUCAGAGCAUGGAUUGCAUUUCUAACUCUUACUCCAACCACUAUGGGUAGAACCUUCCAAUUCAUAAUAGCACCAUCAUGAAGUGGACCAAAGAAGGGGUCUUCUAUUUUUCUCAUCAUCUGGAUACUGAACAUGUGAUUUUUUUUCCAUUGGAUAUAUUAAAAUAAGGACAUCACCAAAUUCUGUAGGAAUAAUUCCUCUCCUGUAGUCUCUAGUAUGCUCUGACCAAACAAUGUGCACUUAAUCAUUUCCUAAACAUCUCAACUUGCUGAGAAGCAGUACUCCCAAGUGCUUAAAUCCUUAGCCUUGGAGCAACUAGGGA
Molecule: long non-coding RNA, 1128 nt
Filed under: Urocitellus parryii (Arctic ground squirrel)
Lineage: Eukaryota; Metazoa; Chordata; Mammalia; Rodentia; Sciuridae
Description: lncRNA (ENSUPAG00010001183.1)
Source: RNAcentral